AGUGGCUCAUUCACCUUCUUAUGUCAGCCCCUUCGGGACGCGCUACAUAAACCCUGGAAUGACGCACAAACAGGUGCCUGCCGUCUCACUUCUGAUCAUAGCGUUGCUAUUUCAGGCCCGAGGCGAAACGUCGAGUAAGGCACCGCCUA
The sequence is a small RNA, 149 nucleotides long. It matches the Rfam family "Glm Y RNA activator of glmS mRNA". From Rfam's summary of the family: This family consists of a number of bacterial RNA genes of around 167 bases in length. The function of this RNA is unknown. The record is from Rfam.